AUACGAUUAUGGAUAACGCGAUACGCGAAAGAGCUAUGCCGCGGCAUCAAAUUUGAUAUUCAAAUGGACGAUACGUCUCUUGUUCCUGCGCUCGCCAACUCCAGCUCGAUCUGGACUGAUCGAAGAUUCGACGAACACCGGCAGAUCGCGAGACCGCGAGCUUUCCUGUCGGGUUUGUGUAUUAUACGUUUUCUGCGAAAGCAAUUCAGAAAUUGGCGGAAGCCGGUAAACAGGCGAAAAAUUCCAGGAAAUUUGGAAUACGAACGCGCUGGGUACGUAGGUAGGUAGGUACGUGCACACAUUGAAUCCGUGAAUUUUUCGCGAGUAUCCAGCCGCGGUAUAAUCUCGCAUCGAGUGGUUGGAUAGACUCAGAGGAAAAAGAACGGCGGGAGUACAGACGGAGAAACGUACACGCUAAGGGUGUAAGUAGAGGGAGCGAGCGAGAGAAAGAGAGUAUGUAUACGUAUGUAUUAGAAAGGGAAGAGCAAACGAGGGAAAAGGAGAAAGAAAACGCGACUGUAGAGGGAAGAAGGGGGCGGAGAGUUAAAGAGGAUUGCCGAUCCAUCCAUGAGGGACGAUGCAGUCUCUGAAUGCGAGAUAAAACCUCGCUGAUGCCCAGCAGAGCGAUCUGUGUAGUGCGAGUAAGAGUGCAAGCCGACCGUCAGGCGGAAAAGAAAGAAAAAGAUAGAGGGUUAAAGAGAACAGCGGGCAGAAAGAGAGACAGGGAGGGUGAGAAAGAAAGAGUGAUAGAGGGAGAAAGAGAGGGGAGAAGGGUGAGGAGAUCCAUUGAAUACAGCGGAAGGUAAAACUCGAGGUACCAGAUCCGAAGAGACGCUGAAGACUCUUCCAAAUCCAUAUAAAUUGUCGUAUUGUUAGAAGGCCAUGCCGCAUACCAAUUCGAGAUGACACGGAAAAAUCCACGGGGAAGAGCAGCGGCAACGAUUUUUGUCGCCAGCUUCCAACGCGAUCGCCAAGUCUAUGUCGUUUCCCUUCGACAUGG
RNAcentral lists this unclassified non-coding RNA (1000 nucleotides) under Bombus terrestris (buff-tailed bumblebee). Its description in RNAcentral is "misc RNA ENSBTSG00005036777.1". Lineage: Eukaryota; Metazoa; Arthropoda; Insecta; Hymenoptera; Apidae. The record is from RNAcentral.